UCGCCUCCUAAAAGGUAACGGAGGCGCUCAAAGGUUCCCUCAGAAUGGUUGGAAAUCAUUCAUAGAGUGUAAAGGCAUAAGGGAGCUUGACUGCGAGACCUACAAGUCGAGCAGGGUCGAAAGACGGACUUAGUGAUCCGGUGGUUCCGCAUGGAAGGGCCAUCGCUCAACGGAUAAAAGCUACCCCGGGGAUAACAGGCUUAUCUCCCCCAAGAGUUCACAUCGACGGGGAGGUUUGGCACCUCGAUGUCGGCUCAUCGCAUCCUGGGGCUGUAGUCGGUCCCAAGGGUUGGGCUGUUCGCCCAUUAAAGCGGUACGCGAGCUGGGUUCAGAACGUCGUGAGACAGUUCGGUCCCUAUCCGUCGUGGGCGUAGGAAAUUUGAGAGGAGCUGUCCUUAGUACGAGAGGACCGGGAUGGACAUACCUCUGGUGUACCAGUUGUCGUGCCAACGGCAUAGCUGGGUAGCUAUGUGUGGACGGGAUAAGUGCUGAAAGCAUCUAAGCAUGAAGCCCCCCUCAAGAUGAGAUUUCCCAACUUCGGUUAUAAGAUCCCUCAAAGAUGAUGAGGUUAAUAGGUUCGAGGUGGAAGCAUGGUGACAUGUGGAGCUGACGAAUACUAA
This 620-nucleotide ribosomal RNA is filed under the name Staphylococcus aureus. RNAcentral's name for it is "partial 23S ribosomal RNA". It matches the Rfam family "Bacterial large subunit ribosomal RNA", at positions 2283 to 2904 of the family's 2925-position model. Lineage: Bacteria; Bacillati; Bacillota; Bacilli; Caryophanales; Staphylococcaceae. The record is from RNAcentral.